CAGUAGCCGCGGGAAUACGUGGGUGGCAAGCGUUGUCCGGAAUUAUUGGGCGUAAAGCGCGCGCAGGCGGAUAGGUCAGUCUGUCUUAAAAGUUCGGGGCUUAACCCCGUGAUGGGAUGGAAACUGCCAACCUAGAGUAUCGGAGAGGAAAGUGGAAUUCCUAGUGUAGCGGUGAAAUGCGUAGAUAUUAGGAAGAACACCAGUGGCGAAGGCGACUUUCUGGACGAAAACUGACGCUGAGGCGCGAAAGCCAGGGGAGCGAACGGGAUUAGAUACCCCUGUAGUCCCUGUCUCUUAUACC
RNAcentral lists this ribosomal RNA (301 nucleotides) under uncultured bacterium. Its description in RNAcentral is "partial 16S ribosomal RNA". It matches the Rfam family "Bacterial small subunit ribosomal RNA", at positions 509 to 808 of the family's 1533-position model. The record is from RNAcentral.